GACGAACGCUGGCGGCGUGCUUAACACAUGCAAGUCGAACGGAAAGGCCCUGCUUGCAGGGUACUCGAGUGGCGAACGGGUGAGUAACACGUGGGUGAUCUGCCCUGCACUUCGGGAUAAGCCUGGGAAACUGGGUCUAAUACCGGAUAGGAGCCAUUUUUAGUGUGAUGGUUGGAAAGUUUUUUCGGUGUAGGAUGAGCUCGCGGCCUAUCAGCUUGUUGGUGGGGUAAUGGCCUACCAAGGCGGCGACGGGUAGCCGGCCUGAGAGGGUGGACGGCCACAUUGGGACUGAGAUACGGCCCAGACUCCUACGGGAGGCAGCAGUGGGGAAUAUUGCACAAUGGGCGCAAGCCUGAUGCAGCGACGCCGCGUGGGGGAUGACGGCCUUCGAGUUGUAAACUCCUUUCGCUAGGGACGAAGCUUUUGUGACGGUACCUAGAUAAGAAGCACCGGCUAACUACGUG
This 464-nucleotide ribosomal RNA is filed under the name uncultured bacterium. Its description in RNAcentral is "partial 16S ribosomal RNA". It matches the Rfam family "Bacterial small subunit ribosomal RNA", at positions 28 to 507 of the family's 1533-position model. The record is from RNAcentral.